RNAcentral lists this ribosomal RNA (853 nucleotides) under Microascus trigonus. RNAcentral's name for it is "partial large subunit ribosomal RNA". It matches the Rfam family "Eukaryotic large subunit ribosomal RNA", at positions 72 to 949 of the family's 3401-position model. The record is from RNAcentral. Lineage: Eukaryota; Fungi; Ascomycota; Sordariomycetes; Microascales; Microascaceae.
GGAUUGCCCCAGUAACGGCGAGUGAAGCGGCAACAGCUCAAAUUUGAAAUCUGGUCCCCCCCCGCGGGGCCCGAGUUGUAAUUUGAAGAGGAUGCUUCUGGCAAGGUGCCGUCCGAGUUCCCUGGAACGGGACGCCGCAGAGGGUGAGAGCCCCGUACGGUCGGAUGCCGAGCCUCUGUGAAGCUCCUUCGACGAGUCGAGUAGUUUGGGAAUGCUGCUCAAAAUGGGAGGUAAACCCCUUCUAAAGCUAAAUACCGGCCAGAGACCGAUAGCGCACAAGUAGAGUGAUCGAAAGAUGAAAAGCACUUUGAAAAGAGAGUUAAAAAGCACGUGAAAUUGUUGAAAGGGAAGCGCUUGCGACCAGACUCGCGCCCGUCGGAUCAGCCGUCGCUCGUCGGCGGCGCACUCCGGCGGGCUCGGGCCAGCAUCAGUUCGCCUCGGGGGGAGAAAGGCGGCAGGAAUGUGGCUCUACGGAGUGUUAUAGCCUGCCGUACAAUACCCCCGGGCGGACUGAGGACCGCGCGUAUGCAAGGAUGCUGGCGUAAUGGUCGUCAGCGACCCGUCUUGAAACACGGACCAAGGAGUCGUCCUAAUAUGCGAGUGUACGGGUGUCAAACCCCUGCGCGUAAUGAAAGUGAACGGAGGUGAGAGCUUCGGCGCAUCAUCGACCGAUCCUGAUGUUCUCGGAUGGAUUUGAGUAAGAGCAUAUUGGGCCGGACCCGAAAGAAGGUGAACUAUGCCUGUGUAGGGUAAAGCCAGAGGAAACUCUGGUGGAGGCUCGCAGCGGUUCUGACGUGCAAAUCGAUCGUCAAACAUGGGCAUGGGGGCGAAAGACUAAUCGAACCUUCUAGUA